CAGAAUGACUCUCGGCAACGGAUAUCUCGGCUCUUGCAUCGAUGAAGAACGUAGCGAAAUGCGAUACUUGGUGUGAAUUGCAGAAUCCCGUGAACCAUCGAGUCUUUGAACGCAAGUUGCGCCCGAAGCCAUUAGGCCGAGGGCACGCCUGCCUGGGUGUCACAA
This 165-nucleotide ribosomal RNA is filed under the name Dahlstedtia araripensis. RNAcentral describes it as "5.8S ribosomal RNA". It matches the Rfam family "5.8S ribosomal RNA". From Rfam's summary of the family: 5.8S ribosomal RNA (5.8S rRNA) is a component of the large subunit of the eukaryotic ribosome. It is transcribed by RNA polymerase I as part of the 45S precursor that also contains 18S and 28S rRNA. Lineage: Eukaryota; Viridiplantae; Streptophyta; Magnoliopsida; Fabales; Fabaceae. The record is from RNAcentral.